RNAcentral lists this long non-coding RNA (777 nucleotides) under Anser brachyrhynchus (Pink-footed goose). RNAcentral's name for it is "lncRNA (ENSABRG00000013537.1)". Lineage: Eukaryota; Metazoa; Chordata; Aves; Anseriformes; Anatidae. The record is from RNAcentral.
AAGGUGCUGGAAGCUGCCCACGCGCAGAGCCCCUCGCUGUCCGGAUGCAAAAUGGUGGCAGCGACGCAUCGAGCACCGCGCUCCCCGUGCGUAACAAAUCCUGCACGAGGGGGCUGUUACCUAGCAGAAAAGUGUGGUGUAGUUCACCUCGGAGCCAUGAGAGGCAAAAAGGCAGUGACACUCAGCAGAUGGGAGCUGGGGCAGCCGCAGGGGAGGUGCAAUCCCUUUCAUAUCAAAGGCAACCACGGUUCCUCUUCACCACAGCAAGCGUGUGCAUGGGUGUGCUCUGUGUCAAGGCACUUAAUGGGCCAGGUGCACUCGAUAAAAGAACACCAGGCACUGCAGCAAACUCACUCACCCACUUCUGAAGCAAGACGACGUGAACCAAGGAGUGGGCGGGUGGAAGGCUUUCUUGGUACAUCUACCGUGCAACUUAGUAAACAGGGGAGCCAGUGCUCUGCGCCGCCUGGAAGAAGCGUGGCAGGCGGCGCGGGGACGCAGUGCCGUCGUGACGGGGGAGGCCGCGCCAUGUCCUGGGCACCGCUGGACAGUGCCCCCCGGGCACGGCUGCGUGCUGGGGGAGUGCAGAAAACAAGGGGCCAGGCACAGCGGAGCUCAGGGGCAGGGGACUGCCGGAGCUGCACGGGCUUGGCCAGCCGGUGGAAGCUGUGGGACGGUGCUGCUGCUGCUGCUGCUGCUGCUUCAUCUUGUAGACAGCGGGAAGGAGUCCAUGUUCUGUGCCUCUGCUCUUCUGUCUCCUUUAAAAGGCAGAUUUAA